RNAcentral lists this ribosomal RNA (253 nucleotides) under uncultured bacterium. Its description in RNAcentral is "partial 16S ribosomal RNA". It matches the Rfam family "Bacterial small subunit ribosomal RNA", at positions 524 to 776 of the family's 1533-position model. The record is from RNAcentral.
UACGGAGGAUCCAAGCGUCAUCCGGAAUCAUUGGGUUUAAAGGGUCCGUAGGCGGCUUUUUAAGUCAGUGGUGAAAUCCGGCAGCUCAACUGUCGAAUUGCCAUUGAUACUGUAGGGCUUGAAUUUUUGUGAAGUAACCAGAAUAUGUAGUGUAGCGGUGAAAUGCUUAGAUAUUACAUGGAAUACCCAUUGCGAAGGCAGGUUACUAACAAACGAUUGACGCUGAUGGACGAAAGCGUGGGGAGCGAACAGG